Long non-coding RNA from Xenopus tropicalis (tropical clawed frog), 4638 nucleotides. RefSeq lists it as uncharacterized. NCBI's taxonomy places the organism in Eukaryota, Metazoa, Chordata, Amphibia, Anura, Pipidae. The transcript is spliced from 3 exons. The record is from RefSeq and is a predicted model, not a curated record.
CACCUUAAAAUGGGCAGAACACUUAUACGAGAAGCAAACUUUUCAAUGUUUCCAUACUGAACCUCUUAUUCUUAUUCUUACCUGCAGUUUCUUUUUCUCUUUCCAGCAGUGCUGUAACAUCUACAAACCCAGAUGUCACAAGCAUUUUAGCUUUCUUUUUCAUUCCUUUGUAAUGCUGCAUGAGUUUAACUACAUGUUGUGACCUGGAAUCACUGUUGCACUUUACCAUAUUAUCUAACAAAAACUGUGGCAGCCUUUCCAGUACUGAAUGAGUUAAAUGUUUAACCUUUUCUUUUAUUUACAGUCUCUUGUAUAUUCCUCCCCUCUCUCUUUCUUUCCAAGUUUCCUAUUGUUUUCUCCUUAUCUCUGCUAUUUAUCUGUUUAGAGUGGACUAGAGACCAGGUCCUGGAUUUUUAAACACUUUAAGAUAUCCCUACCAGCAAAGGAAUUUGUAUAUCAACCAAAAAACAUUGUGGGAAUUCCCUUUUACACCAGAUCACAGUGCCAGUAAACUCUUUAAGUUGAUCCUACCCUCAAGCUAUUUUUUGUUCAUUGAAAGCCCACUUUACUUCAGUGUGCUGAGUGUUGAUGCUGUGGGAGCUGUUUGCACAGUAAAGGCUCGUUGCAACCUGUCCUGAAAAAGCAAAGAAAGAAAAGGCAAUUCAAUAAGACGAGUGAGUUACAUGGAGGAAUUCAGGUGUCCAGGUGUAUUUAGCUCCAAAUAUGGGGAUUGGAAGACAACCAGCAUCUACAAGUCCUGACAGAUUUAGGGAGAGGCAGAAAGACUAGCAGGCCAAAGACUUGCUCAAGAUUGGAAUCAUUUUCUAUUCAUAAAGGGUCUAGUGUACCACAACACGUAGCUAACUUCUAUAAAGUUUUGGGUUUUUUUGGGGGGAGGGAUAUAAAAAAGUGAGUUUUUGUUUGAUUAAAACUUUUUGUACCAAAACUGCUAGAGGUGCUACUUUUUCUCCUUAGAACAGAAAAUGUAUUUACUCCACAUUUUGCAGGGAUAGUUGUUUGCUCCAUGGACCUGAAAUGGUUAGCAAUAACACAUUCGGUAUGUGUUAUUGGGGCUGGGAUUCAUAACGAUGAGGCGGAUAAUAACAGUCCUUAUAUACAGUCCAUACUGUGAGUCAAUCCAAGUGUUUACCCCAGUUCUGGAAUUCUCAGCCGGUUUUCCCACAGCUUUCUACACAACAUGUAUGCAUUUAAACUUUUACUGUUUUAACAGAUAUGUAUUUAAUUGUGGUGUUAUUUGACUUAGUUUGAUCUGGAUUGUGAUCAGUUAGCAUGUUCUCAUUUAUGUGCACAUGUCCAACAAACUAGAACAGGGCAGAUUUUACCUUGGACUGCCAUGGAUGAGUUUCCUCCACUGUGCUUUCCUAAUAAUUAUGGAACCUGAAGUGGUGGGCAUCUUUAACCGAUAAUAAUAUACCGCAUUUUGUACUUUUAAGUUGUGCAUAAAGUUUUUGCCACUGGAAGUGGAUUUACAGAAAACAUUUAUAGCAAGUACAGUUAAAUGGGCCUGAAAUAAAAGUGUAUACAAUGGUUCCUGCAGUAGACAAAUUUGUGGAAACAUUGUUAUUUCACAGCAUCUAGUUAGCAUGCAUUCACUGACCUUUUGGAAUCUUUAUAUGCUUUUAGAAACAUAUUGUGAUGACUAAUCAGUCACCUGCAUUGGGGUGAUAAUAAACCAGUCCUGUUUUUUAAUUGAAAAUCUUAUAUUUCUUCACUCUAAAAUAUAAAAUGAAAUAUGGUUCCAAAUGGCCAGAGAGGUUCAUUAUCACAGCAGUGUUGGGUGUGUACAAUGUUUAUAUGUUUGACUAUGACAGUAACAGGCUGAUUCAGAAACAGAUCCAUUGGUCCUUGGCAAUGGCAUUAUGAAAGCAGACUACAGGGCAUAUUUAUUAUACAUAUGGCACUGAAAUAGACCAGACAUUACCAAGGAUUUUAUAAUAGCUUAAUUCUGUGAUCACCGUACAUGCCAUUAAUUUAUAAGGUAAGGAUAACAACAGAGCUUUAUAAAUACAACUCUUUUAUGUCAGUUUUUACACUUCUUUGAGGUGUCAAAAAUUGUACAACCCUUUAAUUCCGGUUCCCUUCAUUCUUUGCUAUCAUUUACAUACACCUGUGGUGGGGGUACCUAGGAGAAGACCUUAAAAUCUGUUUUUCAGGUGUGGGGCCUCUUAUACUUGCAAUAGUGCACUACAAACUUUUAAGUUAUAAUGAGUGGGUAAACCCUUCCUUUCUUAAGCUGAAAAAAUAGAAACAUUUAGUUUAGGUGUUCUCUUCAUGGUCAGGAUUUUACUCUGGUUCUGAGAGGUGCAGUUAACAAACAGUCAGAAGACAGUAGGUGUGGCAUUCCUGGUCUUUAUGGAAAACUGGAGGUAUGCCAAUGAUAGAAUAGGCAUACAAGAGGAAUACAAUAUGUUCCUAAAAGCAUAUAAAUGUUCCCUAUGGUUCAGUGAAUGCAUGCUAAUAGGCAACUGUGAUAUAACAAUAUUAUUACUGAUUUCUCUAUAUUUUUUGUGGCACAGUCUUUUCUGGCGAUAUUUGGUUCGCAAGAUGGAGUAAAGAUUUAAUUAUACACUAAUAUUUUUAUGAAAAUUAAAAUACCAGGACAAUAAAAAUUUUUAAAAAUACUAUAUUUGCAAAACUAAUCUGCCAUAUUCCUAUUGUUCCAAGAGUUUGAUGCAAUAUAGCAGCCCCAUUUGCAUUUAUAAAUGUUCAGUCAAAUAAGGGUCUACAGCUAGAAAUCAUGCUUCCAUAAUUUAUUGGGAAAAAGAAAUAGAAGAUAUUCCACAUAAUAUUUUCAAUAUGACAAUAUAGGUAUAUGCAAUUACAAGUGAUUCAUUUCCAUUAUUGCUGGUUAAAGAAUUUAAAAAUGCUAUAUUCCAUUGGUCUGAGAAUUAUAAAGCAUUUUUUUCCCAAGCAAAUGUUAUGUUUAUCUUUAGGUCACACUGAAAAGAAAUUUGGAAAUUACAGUGGAUAAAGACUUUCUGGUGCGUAUUAGUGAUUUAGAUGUAUAUGUGGAAUCAACACCUCUCUAUGAACUGAAUGUACUGUCUAUUGUAAUAAAUUGAUUUUGAGUGUUUGCAAUAUACAUUCCUUUGGGUGGAACGAAAACACACACAGAUAAUGACCACCAAAGGGUUUGCUACUUAAGUGAAUAUCUCAGUUCAUGAGACCGUUUUGCCAAUUUCAGGUCAACGGUAAAAGAACGAUCCACGUGUCCUGCUGUCCUUCAUUCCACCGGAGUCUGUCUCAUACAUAAUCAGAUUUCAGUGGAGUGAAGCACAAGAGGCAUGUAGCAGUCUCAGCACAACCUGCAAAUUCCAAACUGAGCCAAGAUGGUAUGUACAAUGAGAAUGACAGGGCACUUUUGUUAUUCAGUUAAACAGUUAAGAUACAUUCAUUUGACAAUAACUUACUCAUUGCCUUUGAUAGGGAAAGAAAAAUCUAUUGCAACUGUAAAAAAAAUCAUUAUUCAGUGCUAGGAAAAACAAUUUAUUUUGUUUUUUUUUUGAGAAUACAUAUAUUAUCAUCUAUUAUAUUGCUCUGAAAUAAAAUUAAGUGUUGGUAUGCCUUACUCCCAUUGUGCCGUGUGUAAUUUUGUUGCACUCCAUUAUAAUUGUGUUUGGUUAAAAACAACCAAGGAUUAGAAUUCCAUCAGGCAAGGGCCUUAUGCAAACACUGAGAUAGUUUCAUAGGACAGGUUUUUACACCUAGCCAAAAUGAUAUUUUAAAAAAUCCCAAAUAAAACAUAAUUUUCAAGGGCAAUCAGGAUCUUUUCCUGUUAGUGUUUAUGUGUUUAUGUGUUCUCCUUAAAACAGCUGCACAGCUUAUUCCAUUACAAUCCAGGUUACAAAGUGAUAGUAAGGGCAUGGGGUCCUCAUUCUUUUGCUUUAACUUCUCAAAGGUGGCAGUAGAUGUCCUCAUAACACCAAAUUGUCUGUCAAGGCAGUCACAAAGCUUGCCUAAACUUACUGCAUCUAGAUACCUAUAUUUAUUAAUACAGUAUUGAAUAUAAGAUUGCUGUUGUCAAAGAUCAUGCCAUAGAAUCAGUGCAACAUAUCAUGCAGCAGACAAAUGAAUCAGGUGUAAGGUAUAGUUGAAAGGGUUACCAUCACCGUGAGGUCUAUUCGGUAUUCCAAACAGACACAGAUUGUUACACCUGUACAAUACAUAAUAGGGGAAAUAAUAAGUCUAGAUAUAAACUCAAGCCACAGCAUUAGGUGGAAUAAUGCUCCAAGAUUGUUGUACAGAGAGAAAGACCAUAGCACUAAUCCCCUAUAAUUCACUCAAUUCAGCACAAUAUUUUUAGAGUACCUUUUAGGUCUACUUUUUAUGUUUUUUUCUGAGCAUUAUAUAUUGGAAGAAUCUUUGCUACAUGGUGAAGUAGUUCAAAUUGCAAACACAUUUUAUUUGUUUUCUGCUUAAGACUACCAUCUCUCUACAGUCAUUUACAAAGCAAAGGGAUAGCCCAGAGCACAGCAAGCUCACCAGUACAGUUAAUAUUCUGGGUAUAUAGAUCUGUCUGUGAAUUCUGCGUGUUCCUACAUUAAGCUUAUACAAAACUGAAGAGCAAGCAUUAUUUGGGCUUAAGGUAUGGAGAUCCAAAUUACGGAAAGACCCCUU